UAUUCUCAAAAACCUUUUUCUGCUUUUGCUGAAAAGGGUUUUUGGACUUGGAGGCUUUAAUGCUUGCGUUUCACUUUUGAAAGGCAAGCUCCUCUCAAAUAAAUUAGUGGGGUCCGCUUUGCUGAUCCUUGACGUGAUAAGAUGUUUCUACGUUUUGGAUUUGGCAUCGUCCCUUUGGAUGCCUGCUUCUAACCGUCUCACGGAGACAACGAUGGUGCUCUGGUCACGGCCAGACCCACGAAAGAAAA
This 248-nucleotide unclassified non-coding RNA is filed under the name uncultured Russula. RNAcentral's name for it is "sequence contains ITS2". The record is from RNAcentral. Lineage: Eukaryota; Fungi; Basidiomycota; Agaricomycetes; Russulales; Russulaceae.